UACGUAGGGGGCAAGCGUUAUCCGGAUUUACUGGGUGUAAAGGGAGCGUAGGCGGUCUGACAAGUCAGAAGUGAAAACCCGGGGCUCAACUCCGGGACUGCUUUUGAAACUGCCGGACUAGAUUGCAGGAGAGGUAAGUGGAAUUCCUAGUGUAGCGGUGAAAUGCGUAGAUAUUAGGAGGAACACCAGUGGCGAAGGCGGCUUACUGGACUGUAAAUGACGCUGAGGCUCGAAAGCGUGGGGAGCAAACAGG
This 253-nucleotide ribosomal RNA is filed under the name Cuneatibacter caecimuris. RNAcentral describes it as "partial 16S ribosomal RNA". It matches the Rfam family "Bacterial small subunit ribosomal RNA", at positions 524 to 776 of the family's 1533-position model. Lineage: Bacteria; Bacillati; Bacillota; Clostridia; Lachnospirales; Lachnospiraceae. The record is from RNAcentral.